Molecule: long non-coding RNA, 317 nt
Organism: Salarias fasciatus (jewelled blenny)
Lineage: Eukaryota; Metazoa; Chordata; Actinopteri; Blenniiformes; Blenniidae
Exons: 3
Source: RefSeq, a predicted model, not a curated record
UCUCCUGGUGGGGUUGGUGCUGUCACUUUAAGAGUACUGCAGGGCGAGACUCGGAGAGAUCAGACUUCAUGUGAGAUUUUAAACUCACUGACAACAGGAGGGAAAAGAAAACGUGCGGAUAUCUGGAGACAGGAGGGGAUUGAGGCGUGUGGGUUGUUAUUUCACCAACAGGCUGAGGGAGCCUGAGCAACAGAACAGCAGGGGAGAUUUGCUGUGUUGAGUUCCAGGAGUGUGUGUUCAUGCACAGGUCAACCACAGGAGUGGAAAGGGGAGAUUUGCUGUGUUGAGUUCCAGGAGUGUGUGUUCAUGCACAGGUC